AACGCACAUUGCGCCCCUUGGCAUUCCAUGGGGCAUGCCUGUUCGAGCGUCAUUUGUACCCUCCAGCCCUGCUGGGUGUUGGGCGUUUGUUCCGCCGCGCGCGUGAACUCGCCUCAAAUGCAUUGGCAGCCAGCCGUCCCGCGUGGGAGCGCAGCACAUUUUGCGCUCUCCGCUGGGUGCGGCGGCGUCCACAAGCCUAUACCUUUACGCUUGACCUCGGAUCAGGUAGGGAUACCCGCUGAACUUAA
This 248-nucleotide unclassified non-coding RNA is filed under the name uncultured Pleosporales. Its description in RNAcentral is "sequence contains ITS2". The record is from RNAcentral. Lineage: Eukaryota; Fungi; Ascomycota; Dothideomycetes; Pleosporales.